RNAcentral lists this transfer RNA (76 nucleotides) under Pseudomonas sp. FeN3W. Its description in RNAcentral is "tRNA-Met". It matches the Rfam family "tRNA". From Rfam's summary of the family: Transfer RNA (tRNA) molecules are approximately 80 nucleotides in length. Their secondary structure includes four short double-helical elements and three loops (D, anti-codon, and T loops). The record is from RNAcentral. Lineage: Bacteria; Pseudomonadati; Pseudomonadota; Gammaproteobacteria; Pseudomonadales; Pseudomonadaceae.
UGUUGGGUAGCUCAGUAGGUAGAGCUGGAGACUCAUAAUCUCUGUGUCGCGGGUUCGAUCCCCGCCUCAACAACCA